GCAAAAUCAUUGAGUAAGAGGAGUAAAUAUUCAGGAAUCGUUACAGAGAGCUAGAGGUUGGUGAAAUUCUAGCACGCCGAAGAGUAUUGAAUGGACUUACGAGAGUUUUCUUGAAGCAUUAGACUAGUAGGGAAAAACGGGUUUCCGCCGUUAUACGGAUAGGAUAUCGGAGCAUAACUUCUCCCGUAUCUGAAAACGAGUUGGGAAGAUUUCUUUCCAAAUGAGGUGGCACCGCGGUUCCUAUCGUCCUCUAU
Molecule: non-coding RNA, 254 nt
Filed under: Oceanobacillus iheyensis
Lineage: Bacteria; Bacillati; Bacillota; Bacilli; Caryophanales; Bacillaceae
Description: T-box sequence
Rfam family: T-box leader
About the family: Uncharged tRNA acts as the effector for transcription antitermination of genes in the T-box leader family. T-boxes are found upstream of many aminoacyl-tRNA synthetase genes and some amino acid biosynthetic genes usually in Gram-positive bacteria.
Source: RNAcentral